Molecule: ribosomal RNA, 253 nt
Filed under: uncultured bacterium
Lineage: Bacteria
Description: partial 16S ribosomal RNA
Rfam family: Bacterial small subunit ribosomal RNA
Source: RNAcentral
UACGUAGGUGGCAAGCGUUGUCCGGAAUUAUUGGACGUAAAGCGCGCGCAGGCGGCCUUUUAAGUCUGAUGUGAAAGCCCACGGCUCAACCGUGGAAGGUCAUUGGAAACUGAAAGGCUUGAGUACAGAAGAGGAAAGCGGAAUUCCACGUGUAGCGGUGAAAUGCGUAGAGAUGUGGAGGAACACCAGUGGCGAAGGCGGCUUUCUGGUCCGUAACUGACGCUGAGGCGCGAAAGCGUGGGGAGCAAACAGG